This 163-nucleotide non-coding RNA is filed under the name Fermentimonas caenicola. Lineage: Bacteria; Pseudomonadati; Bacteroidota; Bacteroidia; Bacteroidales; Dysgonomonadaceae. The record is from RNAcentral.
GGUAUAUUCGACGAAGAGGGAAUCAGGUGCAAAUCCUGAACAGACCCGCUACUGUAAGUCCUAUGCAACGUUUUGACAAUUCUAAAAGCCACUGUAUCCCUGCUGGGAUGUGGGAAGGCAGUUCAAAACGGGGACAAGUCAGGAGACCUGCCAGCGCAUAUAA